Molecule: ribosomal RNA, 499 nt
Filed under: uncultured bacterium
Lineage: Bacteria
Description: partial 16S ribosomal RNA
Rfam family: Bacterial small subunit ribosomal RNA
Source: RNAcentral
GACGAACGCUGGCGGCGUGCCUAAUACAUGCAAGUCGAGCGAAGUCUUUCUGGUGCUUUCCCUAGACAAACUUAGCGUCGCACGGGUGAGUAACACGUAACGAACCUUCCUCUUUGAUUGGGACUACUAUUGGAAACCAUACCUAAUACCGGCUUACAGUAUUUCUCGCAUGACAGAUAUUUAUAAGUUGUUUCUCCUAUCACUAUGCGAUUUCUUUGCGGUGCAGUAGAGAGUUUGUGGGGUAAACGCCCACCAAGGCGACGAUUCAUAUCCGACCUGAGAGGGGGAUCAGCCACACUGGGACUGAGACACGGCCCAGACGCCUACGGGAGGCAGCAGUAGGGAAUAUUACGCAAUGGGCGAAAGCCUGACGGAGCAACGCCGCGUGAGUGAAGAAGGAGUUCGGUGCGUAAAACGCUGUUGUUAGGGAAAAAUGAAAAUGUAGUAAAAAGACAUGUAAGAGACGGUACCUAACCAGAAAGCGACGGCUAACUACGUG